UAAUCAUGCAAGUCGAGCGAACAGACGAGGAGCUUGCUCCUCUGACGUUAGCGGCGGACGGGUGAGUAACACGUGGAUAACCUACCUAUAAGACUGGGAUAACUUCGGGAAACCGGAGCUAAUACCGGAUAAUAUAUUGAACCGCAUGGUUCAAUAGUGAAAGACGGUUUUGCUGUCACUUAUAGAUGGAUCCGCGCCGCAUUAGCUAGUUGGUAAGGUAACGGCUUACCAAGGCAACGAUGCGUAGCCGACCUGAGAGGGUGAUCGGCCACACUGGAACUGAGACACGGUCCAGACUCCUACGGGAGGCAGCAGUAGGGAAUCUUCCGCAAUGGGCGAAAGCCUGACGGAGCAACGCCGCGUGAGUGAUGAAGGUCUUCGGAUCGUAAAACUCUGUUAUUAGGGAAGAACAAAUGUGUAAGUAACUAUGCACGUCUUGACGGUACCUAAUCAGAAAGCCACGGCUAACUACGUGCCA
This 478-nucleotide ribosomal RNA is filed under the name Staphylococcus epidermidis. RNAcentral describes it as "bacterial SSU rRNA". It matches the Rfam family "Bacterial small subunit ribosomal RNA", at positions 50 to 510 of the family's 1533-position model. Lineage: Bacteria; Bacillati; Bacillota; Bacilli; Caryophanales; Staphylococcaceae. The record is from RNAcentral.